AUCUUUUAUUCUACUAUAAUAAUUUAAAAAAAAAUUGAAACAUACAUGUAUGCCCCGAUACGAAAUUCCAACACAGUUCAUCUUGUUAUCAUCAUCCAACCACUUUUCACAAGAUGCUCUCUGAUCAGUGGUCGGACGAGUGGGUGCAAGGGGAAGGUUCUAGUCGAGAAUAUAGGUCAACUUCUCAAAACUCAAGACAAUCUUUAAGUUUCAAAACCAAUCCUUAAAAUUGGAUCCGAUCAAUCGGUUGGUCUCUAGGAUGUGGGCAAGGAGAUUGGAAGCAGACAUGACUCCUGCAGAAAGUCAAAGUUUCUAGUUAGUUGUAAUUGACUUAACUAAUUUAUUUUAAAAAUUUUAUUUUUAAAAUAAAUUAGAGCUCUUACUAUUUUUCUAGUUCCCCAC
RNAcentral lists this long non-coding RNA (402 nucleotides) under Elaeis guineensis (African oil palm). Its description in RNAcentral is "long non-coding RNA (EGUI_LNC021252)". Lineage: Eukaryota; Viridiplantae; Streptophyta; Magnoliopsida; Arecales; Arecaceae. The record is from RNAcentral.